Molecule: ribosomal RNA, 439 nt
Filed under: uncultured bacterium
Lineage: Bacteria
Description: partial 16S ribosomal RNA
Rfam family: Bacterial small subunit ribosomal RNA
Source: RNAcentral
CUACGGGGGGCAGCAGUGGGGAAUAUUGGACAAUGGGCGAAAGCCUGAUCCAGCAAUGCCGCGUGUGUGAAGAAGGCCUGCGGGUUGUAAAGCACUUUCAGUUGGGAAGAUUAUGACGGUACCAACAGAAGAAGCACCGGCUAACUCUGUGCCAGCAGCCGCGGUAAUACAGAGGGUGCAAGCGUUAAUCGGAAUUACUGGGCGUAAAGCGCGCGUAGGUGGCUUGUUAAGUCGGAUGUGAAAGCCCUGGGCUCAACCUGGGAAUUGCAUUCGGUACUGGCAGGCUAGAGUAUGAUAGAGGGAAGUGGAAUUCCAGGUGUAGCGGUGAAAUGCGUAGAUAUCUGGAGGAACAUCAGUGGCGAAGGCGACUUCCUGGAUCAAUACUGACACUGAGGUGCGACAGCGUGGGGAGCAAACAGGAUUAGAUACCCUUGUAGUC